RNAcentral lists this long non-coding RNA (3446 nucleotides) under Mus musculus (house mouse). Its description in RNAcentral is "long non-coding RNA chr5:8437042-8440488". Lineage: Eukaryota; Metazoa; Chordata; Mammalia; Rodentia; Muridae. The record is from RNAcentral.
ACUUGGACCAGGUAUUGGAGCAGUAGUGGUGGUAUUACCUGUGAGCUUAGGUGUGUCAGUACUUCUGGGAGACAAGCUAUCUGGGCAGUCAUUUGUUUUCUUAUAUAUGACUUUCUAAUUAUUAGGGAAUUAAAAGUCCAUCAUAUUAAAUCAUGGUAGAGAAAAAUAUUUCUUCCCUUUAUAAUUUGUUAAGUUUCCUUUGUGUAUCCUGUUUAUAUAUGGGGAAAGUAGCUUUUUAAAAUUAUUUUUAAAUUUCUUUAGAAUUGUAGGUCUCCCAUUUAUUAAAAAACAUACAGAUAGAGUUAUGCAUGUUUUUUCCCCGUAUCCUCGAUAGUAACAUUAAUGUACUUUCAAAGAGGACACUGUAAGCAUUUUCUUGGUUCCUUUAAAGAAUACUCAAUUUCUUUGUGCACUUAUCCACCCUGUAACCCUCUGGCAACUUGUAAUCAGUUCUUGAUUUAGAAAAUUUUGUCAUGUGAAAAAUGCUAUAUAAAUGGAAUCAUGGCAUAAGCUACUUUUGGGGUUGGCAUUUUUCACUUUGAGUAAUAGUUAAUAGUCCAGAGAUUCUUCCUGGCGGGUGCAGGAGUCCAGUUCCUGUCUUACUGCUCAGCGGCUUGAUGCGGAUGACCACAUUUCCAUGCAAUUACUGUGUACAAAACCUCCUACAGACAUUCAUUUUGUUUGGUUGGUUGGAGGAGUUUAUGAGGGUUAGUUAUUCUUUAGCAUUUCUAAGGUUUUUUUUUUUAAGAGGAAUUAUAUUUCACUUUUUUCCCAGCUUAGAGUGAAAUGACAUCUUUACUAUGUUGGGUCUUGUAGUGAUUUUUAUUUUGUUUUGUUUUGUUUUGAAAUAUUGUCAGUCCGUGUAGUCCUGGCCUGGAACUUGAUAGGUAAAGGAAGCUGACCUCGAAUCCAUAGAGAUCUGCCUUUCUCUGCCUCCCAGAUGGGGGUUGGGGGGAGUGAAGUUGUGUGCUACCAUGCCUAGCUUCCUGUGCAUUUUAAAUCUAAUUGUAACAUUACAACUGAAGCAUUUCUUCUUAAAUGUUUUAAAUUGUCAGUUUUUUUUUUUAAGAUUUAUUUAUUUAUUAUAUGUAAGUACACUGUAGCUAUCUUCAGACACACCAGAAGAGGGCGUCAGAUCUCAUUAUGGAUGGUUGGGAGCCACCAUGUGGUUGCUGGGAUUUGAACUCCGGACCUUUGGAAGAGCAGUCGGGUGCUCUUACCCACUGAGCCAUCUCACCAGUCCUGUCAGUUUUUUUUUUUAUUCAAUUAAUAGCUAAGUUAUAUUAAUGCGGUUACAGAUGUAAGGGCUUACACUUGUCCUUUCCUUUCCUGUUUUGUUUUGUUUGUUUUGCUUUGCUUUGCUUUCUUUCUGUUUUGUCGUUUUUCUUGCCUUCCUUUGUACAUGUUUUAUCAUUCCAUUUUUAUUAGUCACGCUUUUUGUGUAUAUAUUUCUUAGCUGAAGCAGUCUAAUUUUUUUUUUUUUUUUUUUACUUUAAGAUGUUGAUACAUGGACAUUCAGUGUUUUUGUUUUGUUUUUAUUGUUGGCUAAUUUGAAAUCUUUGUCAAAGAACUUAGACAUCUUACCUCAAUUUCAGUGUUCAUUAUUGUCUUUCUUCAUUUAGUAUAGCACCUCCCUAGUUCUUAUGAUGGUGAAUGAACUAAACACUGGGCAUUUUGAAUGUUGUUAUUAAACCCAAAUCUAGUUAAACAUUUUGUUUAAACCUUUAAAACAACAACAACACUGUUUCCAAAAGGUAGAGGGAGUACCACGUGGUUAAUACAGCAUCGCUGGACAUCUAAGUUCCCCACUCACACCCAGUGGCAGCAAGUUUGAGUGAGUUUUGACUCUUUUCCUCUGACUGGCUCUGAGAUGGAGUGACCUCACUACUGUCAGACGAUGGCAAAAGUCUUCCCUCUCCACUGUUCCUCUUCUGAUACCACCUUAACAUAGUAGGAAGAAAUGUUAUCUGGGGAAGAGAAGUUUCCUCCUGUUGACCUUGUAUAACCAGCCCACUAAAGGUUUUGCAGUUCGCCCAUGCACCGUCACAGGGGGGAGUCUAGGCAGCUUCCUUGGUUUUGCUGACAAGGGUCUGAGGUUGGCUGCAGUAGAACAAUAUUUCUUUUUAAUCUGUAUAUUUGUUUACAUCCCAAACGCUGCUCCCAGAACCUCCCUCACCAAGUUCCUUCCUCCCUUCCCUCUUGCCCUUCUCCUCUGAGAGGGUGGGACUCCACCCUGGGUGUCCCCAACCCUGGCACAUCAAGUCUCUGCCAGACUAGGUGCAUCCUCUCCCACUGAGGCCAGACAGGGCAGCCAUGAAGACUGAGUUGCCUGUCAGAGCAAAUGUCUUAAAAGUUACCCUGCCAAGCUUCCUUUUUUCCGGCUUGUGAGUUUGUGAGUGGCUUCUUGUCUUAACACAGUGUUUUAAGUUCACCAGUGUUGUGAUUUGUCUUCACAUUGUUUUGAGUCCUACAUAGCAUACCAUCUUAUGAAUAGACUUCAUUUUAGUUCUCUGUUUAUUAGUUGAUGGACAUUUAGGUUAUUUCACUUUGGGAAGUGAAUAAUGCAGUUAUCAACAUUUAAAUUUUGUGUGUACAUGUGUUUUAAUAUCUCCUCCAUGUAUAUCCUGAGUUGAAUUUUUAGUUUAUAUGGUACUAAUUUGUUUAGCUUUUUGAGAAACUGACAAACUGUUUUCCAAAGUGGGUAUACCAUUUUACUUUUUCUCAAGUCCUCACUAGGACUCAGUUUCUCCUCUCUUCUCUCCCUCCCCUCCUCCUUCCUUUUCUCUCUUCUCUCCCUCCCCUCUUCCUUCCCUUCCUUCUAAGCAGGAGGUCUCAGUGUGUUGUCUUGGCUGGCCUUGUGUUUUCCAUUGCCUGGCUGAGCCUCACAGGUAGCUGGGGUAACAGGCUUGCAGCACUGCACCUAAUGUGUCUUUAUUUUAAUCUGUUUGCUGUGUUCAAAGUGGUUUUGAUUUUUAUUUCCACAAUGAUUAAUGAUAUUGAACGUAGUUUAUCAUGGUGAAACUUGUAUCUUUUGACAGUUUUUAAGUUUUUAUUAUUAAGUUGUAAGAGUUUGUCUGUUACUAGCAGGCUUUGUUUUAGAUUCUGACUGCUUUUGAUUCCUCAUCAGAGACGUUUUAACGUGGUCUGUAGUGACACUUUCUCAGAUUUCAUACUUAGAAGAGAGUCUAUGAUCAAUUCUGCCCUUUUUAUAGUAAUCUUAUGAAAACUUUUUAUUUAAAAUAAUUUAACUUGUGUAUAUGUGUCUAUGUGAGUCUAUGGCCACAUGUAUGCAACUACCCAGAGGUAGGAAGAGGGCGUCAAGUCCUCUGGAGGAAUUUGUGAGCCACCUAAAACUAGUGCUGACAUCUGAACUCAGGUCCUCUGGAAGAGCAAGCUUAACUGCUGAACAAUAUCUCCAGCCCCUCAAAAGCUUAUUAGGUAGAAAU